UUUAGAGUUUUGAUCCUGGCUCAGGACGAACGCUGGCGGCGUGCCUAAUACAUGCAAGUCGAGCGGACAGAAGGGAGCUUGCUCCCGGAUGUUAGCGGCGGACGGGUGAGUAACACGUGGGUAACCUGCCUGUAAGACUGGGAUAACUCCGGGAAACCGGAGCUAAUACCGGAUAGUUCCUUGAACCGCAUGGUUCAAGGAUGAAAGACGGUUUCGGCUGUCACUUACAGAUGGACCCGCGGCGCAUUAGCUAGUUGGUGGGGUAAUGGCUCACCAAGGCGACGAUGCGUAGCCGACCUGAGAGGGUGAUCGGCCACACUGGGACUGAGACACGGCCCAGACUCCUACGGGAGGCAGCAGUAGGGAAUCUUCCGCAAUGGACGAAAGUCUGACGGAGCAACGCCGCGUGAGUGAUGAAGGUUUUCGGAUCGUAAAGCUCUGUUGUUAGGGAAGAACAAGUGCGAGAGUAACUGCUCGCACCUGACGNACUACCAAACC
This 498-nucleotide ribosomal RNA is filed under the name Bacillus pumilus. Its description in RNAcentral is "bacterial SSU rRNA". It matches the Rfam family "Bacterial small subunit ribosomal RNA", at positions 1 to 502 of the family's 1533-position model. Lineage: Bacteria; Bacillati; Bacillota; Bacilli; Caryophanales; Bacillaceae. The record is from RNAcentral.